AGGCUCCCCUUCUCCCUCUUUUGCUCCUUUUACUUUCUUUUCAUUGCUUCCCUCUUCUUCUCCUCCUUCCCGCUCAUGUCCUCCAUCUUCUUUUUCCCUUGCUUUUUUCAGCAACAAGAGCUUGCUGAAGUGCUUCCAUGUGUUCCAAUUCUUCUUCCUUGUCCUUCAUUAUUUUUGUAUAAGGUUCUUCUCCUGAUAUGAGCAGCACUGAGGCAGAGAUUUCAGAGAGACUUUGAAGGCGAAUUCAAAAGACACUUGGUGGUUUACUUAGUUAUGUUACGGUUGUUGUUACUGUUUUAGUAGUUCAAUUUUUUGUAUAGGCUUGUUUAAGCCCUUCCUUGUAUGUUGUAACAGUUUUUCAUAUUAAUAAAAAUGAUUGUUAUUCUAUUUCGUAUGUCUUGGCUAUAUGUUUUAACAAAUGUGAAAGCGCUGUUCGGCACAGUAGUAUAGCAUUUGAAUCAAUAAUAACUAAGGUCAAAGUAAUCGUUCCUAAAAAGAUGUCACGAUAACUCUAACAAAAAUAUUAUUCAACAUGGAAAUCCGACCAGUAAGGAAUGAGACUUAUCUUAAAAUUGGCCGUGAUGUGUGUCAAAUGCUUCGAUAAGAUGUAAGAAGUAGCUAUCCGAGGACGUGUUACCCAUCGGAUGAAUGGCCUCCUUUGGUUGACGAUCAUUAGGUUGUUCUGCCAUCUUCAUGAUGCGCGAGACUUAACCCUUUCCAGUAUUGAAGCCGAGAAAUUUCUUCAUUCGGCCAGUUGAUCUCCCAAUGAGCCUGAGUCCGAGGACUUUGUAAAACCUGGGUUUUGUUCUAGACUUAUGCGUUUUAUCCUAUGUACUUGACUUUUCCCCUUAGGCUUGAGUUCGAGACUUGGGUCUUUAUUGGUACUAGGUUUUUCCUUUUUAGCUUGAGUCCGAGGACCAUGCAAGCCUUAGGUUCUGUCCGGGACCAACGUCUGCAUCAGUACUUGGUUUUCCCUUUUAACUUGAGUCCGAGGACCAUGCAAGCCUUAGGUUCUGUCCAGGACCAACGUCUGCAUCAAUACUUGGUUUUCCCUUUUAACUUGAGUCCGAGGACCAUGCAAGCCUUAGGUUCUGUCCAAGACCAAUGUCUGCGUCAAUACUUGGUUUUCCCUUUUAACUUGAGUCCGAGGACCAUGCAAGCCUUAGGUUCUGUCCAAGACCAAUGUCUGCGUCAGUACUGGGUUUUCCCUUUUAACUUGAGCAUUUCUCGAGGUGCCGAACAGGGUGUCCCUGGGCCUUCACGCAAAGCGGGCCUGGGCCGCGAAUUCAAUGGACCCGCAAAUUAAGGGAUAUUUCUGCAACCUCUGGCCAUGCAGUACUUCUCUGACGCCCCAAGGAUCGAGGCGCGCCUUUACGAGGCUCUUUGAAUCUCUUGGCUGCAGUUGACGUUGGAAGUUGAGCCAAGACUACUUUGUCUGUAGUGCUCCUUGGGACGCCGCAUGAGUUGACUGCCAUCAUCCUGUCUUUUCAAAUAAAUAGGAGGAAGAAAAGGGUGCUUUAUAUAUAUACACCCCUCCUUUUGGUUUUCUCUUACAUCACGCCUUCCAUAUCCGGAGUCCUCCUUUCUUGGCAUAACAUGUUGAAAACGAGGGUUGGGAAGAAAGAACUUCCUCCACCGCAGAAGCGCCGUGUCUUUAUGAGGUUUAUAACAGUAAGGUAUGGGCACAGGAAGCACAAGUUCAAGGGAGUACUCCAUCUCCACCGAGAGGGAAAGGAAUUUUCCCCUCUUUCAGUCAAAAUCCGAAGCAGGUUCUGUCGUUGCCAGAGUUUUGGUGCGGCAGAAGAAGGGUUUUUCCCCAUCAGCGCCUCUGCUUUGCGGUAGGCGUAUAUUUAGAGAAAGCCCCACCACCUCCAACUCCCUACACCUUUUCUUCAACGGUGUCAGGUUCAAGUUGGGUCUUUUUGGCUGCCUGAGUUAUGGGCAGGCAAAGAUGCGGGGGAAGAAUAAGGUCUCGGGGCUGUAGCCAACCUCUCCUCCGACAUACCUCCUCGGCUUUCUACAGCUUUCUUGUAUUUUUCUUUUUCUUGCUUAUGUAGUAGGCUUCGACGUAGGC
This is a long non-coding RNA of Quercus robur (English oak), 2074 nucleotides long. RefSeq lists it as uncharacterized. The record is from RefSeq and is a predicted model, not a curated record. NCBI's taxonomy places the organism in Eukaryota, Viridiplantae, Streptophyta, Magnoliopsida, Fagales, Fagaceae. The transcript has 2 exons.